GAUGCUGCGCCGGACGAACGGAUAACUUUGAUGACGUUAAAUAUGAGGUUUCACCUCCAGCAUCU
Molecule: transfer RNA, 65 nt
Filed under: Hediste diversicolor
Lineage: Eukaryota; Metazoa; Annelida; Polychaeta; Phyllodocida; Nereididae
Description: tRNA-Ile
Source: RNAcentral